AACUUAGCUUGCUAAGUUUGAUGGCGACCGGCGCACGGGUGAGUAACACGUAUCCAACCUGCCGAUGACUCGGGGAUAGCCUUUCGAAAGAAAGAUUAAUACCCGAUGGCAUAGUUCUUCCGCAUGGUAGAACUAUUAAAGAAUUUCGGUCAUCGAUGGGGAUGCGUUCCAUUAGGUUGUUGGCGGGGUAACGGCCCACCAAGCCUUCGAUGGAUAGGGGUUCUGAGAGGAAGGUCCCCCACAUUGGAACUGAGACACGGUCCAAACUCCUACGGGAGGCAGCAGUGAGGAAUAUUGGUCAAUGGACGAGAGUCUGAACCAGCCAAGUAGCGUGAAGGAUGACUGCCCUAUGGGUUGUAAACUUCUUUUAUACGGGAAUAAAGUGAGGCACGUGUGCCUUUUUGUAUGUACCGUAUGAAUAAGGAUCGGCUAACUCCGUGCCAGCAGCCGCGGUAAUACGGAGGAUCCGAGCGUUAUCCGGAUUUAUUGGGUUUAAAGGGAGCGUAGGCGGACGCUUAAGUCAGUUGUGAAAGUUUGCGGCUCAACCGUAAAAUUGCAGUUGAUACUGGGUGUCUUGAGUACAGUAGAGGCAGGCGGAAUUCGUGGUGUAGUGGUGAAAUGCUUAGAUAUCACGAAGAACUCCGAUUGCGAAGGCAGCC
Molecule: ribosomal RNA, 659 nt
Filed under: uncultured Bacteroidales bacterium
Lineage: Bacteria; Pseudomonadati; Bacteroidota; Bacteroidia; Bacteroidales
Description: bacterial SSU rRNA
Rfam family: Bacterial small subunit ribosomal RNA
Source: RNAcentral